GCGCGGGUGGCGGAAUUGGUAUACGCGCUAGCUUGAGGGGCUAGUGAACGCAAGUUCGUGGAGGUUCGAGUCCUCUCCCGCGCACCA
RNAcentral lists this transfer RNA (87 nucleotides) under Candidatus Uhrbacteria bacterium CG10_big_fil_rev_8_21_14_0_10_48_11. RNAcentral describes it as "tRNA-Leu". It matches the Rfam family "tRNA". Rfam says of the family: Transfer RNA (tRNA) molecules are approximately 80 nucleotides in length. Their secondary structure includes four short double-helical elements and three loops (D, anti-codon, and T loops). The record is from RNAcentral. Lineage: Bacteria; Candidatus Uhriibacteriota.